AUUGAACGCUGGCGGCAGGCAUAACACAUGCAAGUCGACCGAGUGGCGGAAGGGUGAGUAAUGUCUGGGAAAUGGCCUGCUGGAGGGGGAUAACUAAUGGAAACGGUAGCUAAUACCGCAUACCAGCAGAUGUGCCCAGAUGGGAUUGGCUAGUUGGUGGGGCAACGGCUCACCAAGGCGACGAGCCCUAGCUGGUCUGAGAGGAUGAACAGCCACACUGGAACUGAGCCACGGUCCCGACUCCUACGGUAGGCAGCAGUGGGGAAUAUUGCACAAGGGGCGCAAGCCUGAUGCAGCCAUGCCGCGUGUAUGAAGAAGGCCUUCGGGUUGUAAAGUACUUGCAGCGGGGAGGCGUUACCCGCAGAAGAAGCCCCGGCUAACUCCGUGCCAGCAGCCGCGGUAAUAC
RNAcentral lists this ribosomal RNA (406 nucleotides) under uncultured bacterium. RNAcentral's name for it is "partial 16S ribosomal RNA". It matches the Rfam family "Bacterial small subunit ribosomal RNA", at positions 29 to 526 of the family's 1533-position model. The record is from RNAcentral.